CCUACGGGAGGCAGCAGUGGGGAAUCUUGCGCAAUGGGCGAAAGCCUGACGCAGCCAUGCCGCGUGAAUGAUGAAGGUCUUAGGAUUGUAAAAUUCUUUCACCGAGGACGAUAAUGACGGUACUCGGAGAAGAAGCCCCGGCUAACUUCGUGCCAGCAGCCGCGGUAAUACGAAGGGGGCUAGCGUUGCUCGGAAUUACUGGGCGUAAAGGGAGCGUAGGCGGAUAGUUUAGUCAGAGGUGAAAGCCCAGGGCUCAACCUUGGAAUUGCCUUUGAUACUGGCUAUCUUGAGUACGGAAGAGGUAUGUGGAACUCCGAGUGUAGAGGUGAAAUUCGUAGAUAUUCGGAAGAACACCAGUGGCGAAGGCGACAUACUGGUCCGUUACUGACGCUGAGGCUCGAAAGCGUGGGGAGCAAACAGGAUUAGAUACCCUGGUAGUCCACGCUGUAAACGAUGAGUGCUAGUUGUCGGCAUGCAUGCAUGUCGGUGCGCAGCUACGCAUAAGACGACUCCGCCGUGGGUAGGUACGGUCGCGAAGUAGUUAAACGUUACAAGUAGUUAGUUAGUACGGCGNGAGAGNGCGACGGACGACGACGAGGGAGGAGG
This 606-nucleotide ribosomal RNA is filed under the name uncultured bacterium. RNAcentral's name for it is "bacterial SSU rRNA". The stretch from base 1 to 516 matches the Rfam family "Bacterial small subunit ribosomal RNA", at positions 338 to 873 of the family's 1533-position model. The record is from RNAcentral.